GACGAACGCUGGCGGCGUGCUUAACACAUGCAAGUCGAACGGUAAGGCCCUUUCGGGGGUACACGAGUGGCGAACGGGUGAGUAACACGUGGGUGAUCUGCCCUGCACUUUGGGAUAAGCCUGGGAAACUGGGUCUAAUACCGGAUAGGACUACGCGAUGCAUGUCGUGUGGUGGAAAGCUUUUGCGGUGUGGGAUGGGCCCGCGGCCUAUCAGCUUGUUGGUGGGGUGAUGGCCUACCAAGGCGACGACGGGUAGCCGGCCUGAGAGGGUGUCCGGCCACACUGGGACUGAGAUACGGCCCAGACUCCUACGGGAGGCAGCAGUAGGGAAUAUUGCACAAUGGGCGCAAGCCUGAUGCAGCGACGCCGCGUGGGGGAUGACGGCCUUCGGGUUGUAAACCCCUUUCAGCACAGACGAAGCGUAAGUGACGGUAUGUGCAGAAGAAGCACCGGCCAACUACGUG
This 464-nucleotide ribosomal RNA is filed under the name uncultured bacterium. RNAcentral describes it as "partial 16S ribosomal RNA". It matches the Rfam family "Bacterial small subunit ribosomal RNA", at positions 28 to 507 of the family's 1533-position model. The record is from RNAcentral.